GAGAAUGGGGGAGUUGUGGACCUGGAGGAGUUUGUGGUCAGUGGCAAGUCUAGGGUUAUGGUGAUGAAUAUUGAUAGGACUCGCCUGUUGAAAGAGUUGCCGGAGAGUAAGCAGCAGAGCGAUUCAAAUUCCGACCAGAAAAGUCGAGGUCUUGAGGGUCCCAGGAAUGGGGGUGAUUUUGUCAGUAGUAGUGGUGGAGGUUUUGGAAUGGGGAGGCCAAUGCCGGAUAUGUGGAUGGGAGGGCCGGGAAUGCCACCCGUGUUUCCUCCCGGAGGAGGAGUGGGGCCGAGGGGUGGUGGUCCGAGAGGGAUGGCUGGGAUUAUGGGGGUCCCUAGAGGUGUUGGCGUGCCGCCUCCUAUGCAGAGACCUCCCAUGGGGUCGAAUGGACCUAUGGGCGGCCCGGGUGCCAUUGCUCUGAAGCCAAGGACCGAGGAGGAUGAUAUGAAGGAUCUUGAGGCUUUGUUGAAUAAGAAGAGCUUUAGGGAAAUGCAGAAGUCUAAAACCGGAGAGGAGCUUUUGGACCUCAUUCACAGGCCCACUGCUAGGGAAACUGCUGUGG
This 559-nucleotide long non-coding RNA is filed under the name Coffea arabica (coffee). Its description in RNAcentral is "long non-coding RNA (CARA_LNC005816)". The record is from RNAcentral. Lineage: Eukaryota; Viridiplantae; Streptophyta; Magnoliopsida; Gentianales; Rubiaceae.